GUGCCAGCAGCCGCGGUAAGACGAACCGUGCGAACGUUGUUCGGAAUCACUGGGCUUAAAGGGCGCGUAGGCGGGUCAGCAAGUCCGGGGUGAAAUCUUUCGGCUCAACCGGAAAAGUGCCUCGGAUACUGCUGGUCUUGAGGGAGGUAGGGGUUUGUGGAACUUCUGGUGGAGCGGUGAAAUGCGUUGAUAUCAGAAGGAACGCCGGUGGCGAAAGCGACGAACUGGACCUCUUCUGACGCUGAGGCGCGAAAGCUAGGGGAGCAAACGGGAUUAGAAACCCUUGUAGUCC
This 292-nucleotide ribosomal RNA is filed under the name uncultured bacterium. RNAcentral describes it as "partial 16S ribosomal RNA". It matches the Rfam family "Bacterial small subunit ribosomal RNA", at positions 505 to 796 of the family's 1533-position model. The record is from RNAcentral.